UGCUUUUUGUUGAGAUGACCUGCUUACGU
This 29-nucleotide non-coding RNA is filed under the name Rattus norvegicus (Norway rat). Lineage: Eukaryota; Metazoa; Chordata; Mammalia; Rodentia; Muridae. The record is from RNAcentral.